Ziziphus jujuba (common jujube) is the source of this 1233-nucleotide long non-coding RNA. RefSeq lists it as uncharacterized. The transcript is spliced from 3 exons. NCBI's taxonomy places the organism in Eukaryota, Viridiplantae, Streptophyta, Magnoliopsida, Rosales, Rhamnaceae. The record is from RefSeq and is a predicted model, not a curated record.
UCUUUUAUUGGUGAAAAGUUCGCAAUAUAUUCAAAUAAAGCCUUUUUUUCACUUCGGCGAGCGCGUGUCUGACACUCGCUCACCCACUUGUGGGUUUGGUGAAGGUACAAAAGAAGAUAAUUAACUUAACGGCUAUAUUUCUCUUUCUCCUUUUCUUCUUCUGUAGAAUUCUGAAUAGAGGAAACGAAGCAAUUCAAGCAGUUGGGGAAUUCGAUCUCCGCCGCUUUCAAACACCCUUGUCCAGCCAAUACUCCGAUGUGAUCCACUCUCACAUCCAAACAUUGGCUCACCGUCUUCUAGAACAAAAACGGCGUAGAAAUGGUCCCUCACAACUCUCUACUUGGAAUCUCCGACUCUGGCGUUCAGCUUGAUAUGGGCCUUCUCCUCUAUACGACCAAUGUGGUGUGUUGAAGACAGUGUGAAGGGGAGAGAGCUCUUGAUCUAGGAGAAUAAAGCUAUCUUGGAGGAAUACAGGAACUGUGUAAGAUUAGAGUUAUGGAUGGUGUACUUUCGAAAGUGUGCAGGGGAGGGAGGUGUUUGUAAAUAUUGUAAAGCCCAUGGAGGCUAAGAUAUGAUUGUAUAAUUCUUUUUUAAUAAGAAGAAAUGGUUUUAUGGUGUUUGGGAGCAGAGAAACACUCAGGGAUUGCCUGAGGUUCCCUUGCCCUCUAAGGUGAGUGUGGGUGUGGUGUUCUGUCUUCUUCUUCUCUCUUAUUUGCUUUCUUUUCCUUUCUAUUUUUUUCUCUGGAAUUUCUCUUUGUUUUUAUCUCUGUAUUUUCUCUCUGUUUUUUGCCUCUGUCUUUCUCUGAAAUCUUUUUCUCUUGAUUUUCUUUCUCUGUUGUGUUUGUUCUUUUACUUCCUCUUUUUUGUUAUCGCUUUACUUUUUAUCACUGCUUUUUCUUUUUGCUUCUUUUUUUCAUUUUUUUUUUUCUCUAUUUUCUUUUUCAACACCAUCUACUUCCCCUUGGUUUUCUUCUCUGUUACUUUUAAACUUUCUCUUACUGCUUUUUUUAUUUCUACUCCACUUUUCUUUCUAUUUUCUCUUGCUAGUUUCUUUAUGCACUUUAUCUCUAGUUUAUUUUCAAAGUGAAGUUACGUCAUAGGGUAAAUUGUUUAUUCCACAUGCUAUCAAUGGUCAUGUUUUGAUAUUUCCUUAACUAAGAAAUAUAAUACAUAAAAAGAAAAAAAAAAAGUUAACUCUACUUAUAUCUAGGUAUAAACUAUUUUUUUUUUUUU